CAGUGUCCAAGCCCCUACAGGUGUCGCCCGCGCUCCCUCCCUCCGCCCGCCUCCCUCCUCCGGCCCCCUCCGCGCGGCACCGGGCGGGGGGUGCCGCGAAACUCCGACCCGAGCCACUUGGACUCGCACAGUGUCCUCGGGGCGCAGGGGCCGAGCGCACGCACUCGCGCAGCUCUGCCUCCGCCAGCCAGUCUCGCCCGCGAUCCCGGCCCGGGGCUGUGGCGUCGGCUCGGACCCAGGCAGCCGGCAGCCCGCGCGGGAGCCGGACCACCGCCGGAGGAGCUCGGCCGGAAUGCUGAGCCCCCUCCUCGGCUGAAGCCCGGGCGAGCGCCGGCUCCGGAGACGAAGGCGGCGGAGGCGCGAGACCGAGCGGGCGAGCGGCGGAGGAGCGGGCGGAGGAGCGGGCGGAGGAGGCGAACCCGGAGAGGGGCCGCGAAAGAAGUGGUGGUGGUGGGCGUCGUGGCCAUGGCGGCGGCUAUCGCCAGCUCGCUCAUCCGGCAGAAGCGACAAGCCCGCGAGCGCGAGAAAUCGAACGCCUGCAAGUGUGUCAGCAGCCCCAGCAAAGGCAAGACCAGCUGCGACAAAAACAAGUUAAACGUCUUUUCCCGGGUCAAACUCUUCGGCUCCAAGAAGAGGCGCAGGAGGAGACCAGAGCCUCAGCUUAAGGGUAUAGUUACCAAACUCUACAGCCGACAAGGUUUCCACUUGCAGCUGCAGGCAGACGGAACCAUUGAUGGCACAAAGGAUGAGGACAGCACUUACACUCUGUUUAACCUCAUCCCCGUGGGCCUUCGAGUGGUGGCUAUUCAGGGAGUUCAAAGCAAGCUGUACUUGGCAAUGAACAGCGAGGGAUACCUGUACACCUCGGAACAUUUCACACCUGAGUGCAAAUUCAAAGAAUCGGUCUUUGAAAAUUAUUACGUGACAUAUUCAUCUAUGAUAUACCGUCAGCAGCAGUCUGGCCGAGGGUGGUAUCUGGGUCUGAACAAAGAAGGAGAGAUCAUGAAAGGAAACCAUGUGAAGAAGAACAAGCCUGCAGCCCACUUUCUGCCCAAACCACUGAAAGUGGCCAUGUACAAGGAGCCUUCGCUUCAUGAUCUCACCGAGUUCUCCCGAUCUGGAAGCGGGACCCCAACCAAGAGCAGAAGCGUCUCCGGCGUGCUGAACGGAGGCAAAUCCAUGAGCCACAACGAAUCAACGUAGCCAGUGAGGGCAAAGCAAGGGCUCUGUAACAGAACCUAACCUCCAGGUGCUGUUGAAUGCUAGCAGUCCUUCACUCAAAAGUUCAAAUUGGUCAAUGACGUUUACCAAACAAACAGGCAGAGUCCACCCUUCUAAUCUGCCGUUAAACCUUCUUCUCCUGCAUAUACUAAAGCCCCACAAUUGACAUGGAGCUUGUGCCAAAAAACAGUGCCAAGCGUUAUCAGUGAACUAAAUCUGGGAGAAGGACUGCCCAAUUUUCUCACGAUCUCACCUAUGCUUUGGGGAAGACGAACCCAAAACCUUUCACAGCAGUAAUGCUGAUACAAAUUCGCGCUCCCACCAAGAAAAUGUAAAAGACCACCAUUGUUCUUCAAAACCAGACAAACAAACAAACAGAAAAAAAAAUUAACUGCUUAAAUGUUUUGUAGGGGCAAACAAAAUGAUGUGACCUGUGUUGGUUUCUUGGCUUCAUGUUUUCCAUCUAUGCUUGAUUCAUACGUAUUCUUUCCUUUGAUAGAGCGCAACUAUAUGAUUUCUGAAAUUCAAUGGUUCUAUUGACUCUGUGUCACUUAAUCCAACUCAACCAAAUUCAGGGUUGAAGCUGAAUUGGCAUCUCAGGCUCAAGGUAACAGUGUUCUUGUGAUUUUACCAAUUUUUUUUCUUUUAGAUUCGUAGGAUUCUGGUCAAGUUCUUGUGCUGUACUUUGUGCGUAGAAAUGGUGUCGUGUUGUCACCCCCUAGUCAGUAAAGAUGACUUAAAAAAAAAGAUUAUCCUCAAGUGUAGCUUUCUCUUAAUUCCAUUUGUGUUAUCAUGUUAAACUAUUGUUGUGGCUUCUUGUGUAAAGACAGGAACUGUGGAACUGUGAUGUUGUCUUUUGUGUUGUUAAAAUAUGAAAUGUCUCAUCUGUAUAUGUAUGAGUUGUCCUGUCAUUGUGUUUGGCACGUGAAUAUUGUGUACAAGGAAAUGUUAGGACUGGUUACCCCUAAACAACAUAUGCUUAUACCUGCUUCUGGAAAAGUGUUUAAGACUUAGCUAGGUUUCCAUUUAGAUCUUCAUAUCUGUUGCAUGGAAGAAAGUUGGAAUCUUGGCAUAGAGUUGCAUGAUAUGUAAGAUUUUGUGCAUUAAUAAUUGUUAAAAUCUGUGUUCCACAAGUGGACAUAGCAUGUACAGGCAGUUUUCUGUCCUGUGCACAAAAAAGUUAAAAAAAAAAGUUGUUUAAUAUUUGUUGUUGUAUACCCAGAUACGCACCGAAUAAACUCUUUAUAUUCAUUCAA
RNAcentral lists this long non-coding RNA (2477 nucleotides) under Sus scrofa (pig). RNAcentral's name for it is "lncRNA (ENSSSCG00055020043.1)". The record is from RNAcentral. Lineage: Eukaryota; Metazoa; Chordata; Mammalia; Artiodactyla; Suidae.